This is a long non-coding RNA of Gallus gallus (chicken), 3440 nucleotides long. RefSeq lists it as uncharacterized. NCBI's taxonomy places the organism in Eukaryota, Metazoa, Chordata, Aves, Galliformes, Phasianidae. The record is from RefSeq and is a predicted model, not a curated record. The transcript has 3 exons.
AAAAACCUCAAUGAAGAGAGAGAAAUUCUGUGCAGGACUGGGGUCAAUUUACGACAAAUACUUUAUAGCCAGGCUUGAAUCCUAUGCAGGCAGAGGAAAUUUUUAAGGAGUUGCUUAUAGUUUCACUCCCAUGAUAAUGGAUCCUUCUGGCAGCAAGGCAGAAGAAAUGUGCUUACUUCAUACUAUGCAGAAGACCCUGGAAACUCAGAUUCACCACCUGGCUCUGAAUACUGCAGAACUACAGUGCAAAAGGACAAUGAAAUAAACUGAGUGUUGUAGACUCUAUGGAUCACCAGUGAAGAACUCUGAAAAAAUCUUCAAGUUAAAACUGUUGUUGCCCCACUGGUCAGAAAUAGUAUACUGUAGAAAUAAAUCAACUACUAGGAAAACAGGUCAAAAUUAUAGAGUCCAAAACCAAAGGAAGAGAUAAUAGGGUAAUAUACUCAAGGAAAACGAAACAGUUCUUUAUGGAUUCUUGACCUACAUUCAAGUAAAAUGCUACUUUUCAACUGCUCUUAAAUCUGUUUUCAGCUUUAUUCUAGAAAGCGUAUCGCAGUUCCUGCAAUCCUUGACUGCUGGAACACAUCUGCUACUUUAGUUUCUAAAAGGCUGUGAUUGCAGAAUUCUAGACACUUGGCAGAAAUGUCUGUGUUAAAUGGUGAAAACAUUCGUAAUCUAGAGAACAGCCAUAUUUGUUACAGCCUUGGAAGAGCUACUAAACACAGAGAAAUUAUUUGCAAUUAAGAUCAAGUAGCUGUCUUGACACUUUAAUUACAGUACACAUUUUGUUUUUCCUUUUGUGAUCAAUUGCACAUUUUUCCUUCUUUUUUUCCUCCCGUCCUCUUUACUGAGACCUUUUCAUUUAAUCUGUUUUCUUUGAAUGCUUUGUGUUCAUUCCAUUUCAUGUUUCCAUUUUUAACAUCUGUUAGUCCAUAUUCUGAGGAAAAAAAAAAAAAGCACCAUAUUUAUCUCUAUAUUUCAAAGAUCUAUCUAGAAAAAUUACUUUUCCAUGUUUUAGGUUAAGCCUGAAUGAACUAUUUCCUCUGAUAUUAAAAUUUCUGACUCACAUUUUUUUGGACAUGCUUUGUAUGACUCUUCAGACUCAUGCUGAGUUUAUUACCAUUCACAGAUAUUCCAUAUUUAAUCUUAAUCCUUCCAUCCUUUGGAAAUGGAAAACUUAUACAAAAUCAUAGAGCAAAAUAAUUAUUCAGAUGUGACUGAAACGCAAGGAUCCAAGGUUGCUACCUUUUAUAACUGUCCUGUGGAUCUUGUCGUAACAAGUAGAUCUUUAAAAGUCCCUGCUUUCAGGUCUUGUAAAUACCCGUCAACAUAGAUCCAUGACACUCUGAGUGCUCAGAGUGUACUCGCCUUGAAAACAGAAGCAAAAGAUACAAAACACUCAACUGUGCUUUCUAUUGCAUUUCUUAAUUCUUUUUGAACCACUUGUACUAUUUUAGGGUGUCUGACAGACAGCAUUUUGACACUGUGUGUGUGACGAUUCUGAUUGCAGUUCCUUUUACUGUCCGGACCUUCAGUACUGAGGACCCACUGGUUUUGCCAAUUCUUUCAGUUGGAAGAAUCAAGACAAAUUAUCAGUCUUGAAUAUUUUCUGUUUGAGCUUUGUGAUAGCAUUUUACUGCAGAUUUCUUAAUAUGAGUGGGGCUUUUUUAAUGCUUGAUGAUUUAUGAAGCCACAAAGCCAUUCAGCACAAACAUUUUCAAGCAUCAUAGCAACAUAUAACCUAAUUAGUACAUUUGAGGGCAGUGAAAACUGCAAAAGAAGCAGACAUCAGUCACUAAAGCAAUGGAUUGAUUUUUCAGUGUGCAUUUGAAGUACUUUUAUCAAUACAAUGCGUUAGUGCUUUUGGGCUAUGUCAUUCUCCAGUCUGCUCUUUGCUGGGUAAAUGUCAAUAGAAAGCAUAAUAACCAAACUUAACGCUUUUCAUCAACUGUAAGUAACAUGCUACUAUCACUGUGUGUUCUUCGGCGGUCAAGGGACUACAGACAAGCAGGAGGAACUGGAAAAUGUCAGUGAUACAGUGACAUGGGUUAUAUCAAGUAACUAAUUUACCCUUCUUGUACUUUUUUUAGUCCUUUUGAUUUCCCCUUCCUUCUCUCCUUUCCAGAAGGGACAGGGAGAUAGACACACCCAGCGUAUACAGAGCUUUUCCUUGCUCUUCAAACUGGAAAAUGCUUGAAUAAACAGUUCUUGAUUCAAAUAAUUUGGUAAUGUUCCCCAGUGCCAAUGUGAGGCUAAGUUUAACCAAAUCUAAACAGGAACUGAAACAUCUAAAAUAGAAUUCUGCAAUAUAUGAAUCACCUAAUUCAAACAUCCUUCUGUGUUAAAGUUCAAGAUAAUGGGGUUUCUUUAUAUAUUAAAACUAGAAAAGUUAUCAUGGGGGAAAGCCAGAUUCAUGGCCUUCUGUAGAGCAUAAACGUUCAUGCUUUGUUUUGCUUAAAUGCACCAUCAAUAAAAACACAGAUGAGGGUCUUCCAGUGGUAUCCAUAGUUUCUUUCAUGCCCUUGGGGUGCCAAAAAGUUAUCUCAGGUGAGGAUCACGUAAUCUGUUAGCCAGAACCCUGCUCCAGGUAGAUGUGAAAAAGGCUGACCCAAAAUUGGGAUAGUACAUGAGAUAGAAAUUUUUCAUUAAGUUAAAUGUACGGCUUCAGACAGACACAAGAUGAAUGAACAGUCUGAUAAAAAUCUUUAAAUCAAACUGAAAUAAAUAAGGAACAGACUUCGUGACACAGAACUUUGAAAAUUAGUCUUAAUCACUAAGAAUUUUCCUACCAAACUAUGAUUUUCUCGUUAUGAGAAAAUAGUAACUUUUCAAAAUCAUGAAGAAAUAUUUUUAUAUGCCAUGAGGUGGGCUUUAAAAUAGAAAAUAAUUUUAUAAAUUAUUUGUAAGUCUAUGAAUUAUAAAAGCGUGUAGUUCCUUUCUAUAAAUAAAAUAAAAUAAAAUAAAAUGCAAUAAAGCAAAACCCACAGACUUAAUGAAUGAAGACCUAGAUUAUAAAUGUUACUUAGCAUAGCCUAGCAAUACUCAAAGCACAUUAUUUCCUGACUGGCUGAGCCAAAGGAUUAUCGUCAAGAGAAUGUUUUCCCUUUUAGUAGAGUUUAAGUAGUGAAAAUAAUAUUUAGAACAACCUUAUGCACAACAGAGCAAGAUGACUUUUGCUUGGUAACUGUUUAGCUAAGCUCAACUGCUCUGGGCUUCACUUUGAAGUAAGGCCAUCAGACCUCACCAGGGACAUCUGCGGUACUCAACAGACCCUGAGAAAGCUUUGAGCUAGCUUAAACUUUAACUUUUAGUAGAAAUGGAAGCUGUCUGGGGGGUCCUAGGUGAGAUUCUGUAUUAAUAAAUCCACAUAGAUCAAGCAGGUGGUGCUGCCUGUGAUGACCACUUUUGCUUUGUUUAUACCUACCUACUCAUGACUGUGG